This is an RNA transcript of Haliotis rufescens (red abalone), 1881 nucleotides long. RefSeq lists it as uncharacterized. NCBI's taxonomy places the organism in Eukaryota, Metazoa, Mollusca, Gastropoda, Lepetellida, Haliotidae. The record is from RefSeq and is a predicted model, not a curated record. The transcript is spliced from 6 exons.
UCUUCAUCGAAAAAAAAUUUAUACUUUGUCUGAAAUUUAUAUUUUCAGUUGGUAAAGUUUCUUUUGGACGUCAGUUUAUGUAUGUAUCUGUAGGCUAUCUCCCCAACCUGUGAACAGGGUGUUACUUCAUCAACCCGUCUUUGGUAAUAACUUGAUGCAAAGGAUAUACAUAAGCUGGAACUAGCGAUGCAGUGAUAGGGGCAUCCAUUUUGACACUUAGAAAGGGACACCACUCUAUCCGUAUUUUAGACGAGACAUUCUCUCAAUACAUUAUGUUGCUAGGAUUUUGGAGUUCUAACCCUUCCAAACAGUGGUGUCAAGAGACUGACCAAAGAUGUUAAAAAGAAGUGGAUGGACUACAAGAGUCAAACAAGGAAAAAAGAAGCUGAAAGAAGGAGGGAGGCAACGAGAACUGGUGGGGGGCCUCCACCGUCCAGCCUCACUGAAAUCGAACAGCGGGUUGUAUCAUUCAUACCUCCCUGCUCGAUUCAAGGUUGUGAGGGUGGCCUUGAAAGUGAAGAAUAUGAAAAGAAAUUGGUAAAUUGGACCUACAUGUAUCUUAUUACUUAAAGACACUACCCCAGCAACUCCAGUUUUUCCAGAGACUCUUCAAGCCCUGCAGGAUUUUGCCUUAUGAUGGGGCCUUUGUACCACCUACAUACAUGUACUCAGAGAGUGUGAUGUCAGCAGAUGAUGUUCCUCAAGUUGAUGCAGUUUCACAUGUUAAGGCCACAAAGACUCUCAGUGACAAAGAUACCAUUCUGAACAUAGAGAGGGAGAAACUGAAUGUGCUUUAAGAGCUUCUUGAGGUCGAAAAAAAGAGACUACAUGUUGAAGGACAGAAAUUGGCCUACAUCAUUUCUCUGGAAGCUGGCCACUUUGGCCAACUGAAUGUGCCACCAGUUAUUCAGUUUCUUUAAGCUUUGAUUAAUUUUCCCAAAUAUAAAAAUUUAUACUGAUAAUGUAGCUUCUGUUGUCACAUAUCAUCGGUUACAAAAAGUCGUUUAUCUUAAUCAUACAAUCAUUUAGAGAAACAGUUAUUGACGACAGCUUGUCUGACUUUGUGGCCGUCAUUGAGAGGUAAGGUCCCAAGUAAGCUAUCCCAUCUUCUUGGAUCAGGUCUUCUUGUGUAGGAGGAGCGGGUAACCUGUCAGCUGGAUAACUUCUGCAUCAGUCUCACUGAUGCAGAAGUUAUGCAGCUGACAGGUUGCAUACACAACUUGAUGGCAUUUUUGUGGGGUGAACGGCAGGCAGCCACCUGAUUUAUGUAUGCACCUAAUAAUGUAUAUAAACACAAACAUUACCCUUUGUUCAGAAUGCAGAUAAGAUAGACUAGUUGCAUUAUUAUGUGUAAAACUUGAAAUAUUCUAAAAAGACCAUGUCUCUGAUUUACUUUAAAGUAUGAGUAUUAUCUUAAAGCAUAACAUCUUAAUCUGUCAUUAGCACAAAUAUAUGCCUUACUAAUGUCUCAAAUAUUGAAAAAUGUUAUAUAUCCUUGAGUAGAAUAAGGGACAUAUACAUGCCUGAACCUGGAUUUAAGGAGUCCAAAAGCCCUCUCCACAGUGUUGCCUGUUCUGCAGUGUAAGUGUUGUCUGUUCCUCAGACGGUGUUGUAGGGCGUCAUGCAUAUCUGAUGGAAAAAGUGUACUUCUGUUAAACAUACUGACCAUACCAUUAAAUAUUGAAAGACAACUUAAAAUACCAGCUUAUAUAUUUCACUUCAAAUGUUAUUUCAUUUAGUGACAAUUUUAUUGGUGUCAGUUUACAUUGUGAAAUUUGGGUUUAAGUACUUUCACUCAAAGCUAGAUUUUAUUGGCGCUGCUUUCAAUUUAUGAUAUUUUAAAGUGACUAAUAUGAAAUAAACAUUGGAAUCUGAAAAUCA